UAGGGAAUCUUCCGCAAUGGACGCAAGUCUGACGGAGCAACGCCGCGUGAGUGAAGAAGGAUUUCGGUUCGUAAAACUCUGUUGUUAGAGAAGAACAGCGCAUAGAGUAACUGUUAUGCGUGUGACGGUAUCUAACCAGAAAGCCACGGCUAACUACGUGCCAGCAGCCGCGGUAAUACGUAGGUGGCAAGCGUUGUCCGGAUUUAUUGGGCGUAAAGCGAGCGCAGGCGGUCAAUUAAGUCUGAUGUGAAAGCCCCCGGCUCAACCGGGGAGGGUCAUUGGAAACUGGUUGACUUGAGUGCAGAAGAGGAGAGUGGAAUUCCAUGUGUAGCGGUAAAAUGCGUAGAUAUAUGGAGGAACACCAGUGGCGAAGGCGACUCUCUGGUCUGUAACUGACGCUGAGGUUCGAAAGCGUGGGUAGCAAACAGG
RNAcentral lists this ribosomal RNA (429 nucleotides) under Bacteroidota bacterium. RNAcentral's name for it is "Bacteroidetes bacterium partial 16S ribosomal RNA". It matches the Rfam family "Bacterial small subunit ribosomal RNA", at positions 355 to 776 of the family's 1533-position model. The record is from RNAcentral. Lineage: Bacteria; Pseudomonadati; Bacteroidota.